GAUGAACGCUGGCGGCGUGCUUAACACAUGCAAGUCGAACGGGAAAUAUUUCAUUGAGACUUCGGUGGAUUUGAUCUAUUUCUAGUGGCGGACGGGUGAGUAACGCGUGGGUAACCUGCCUUAUACAGGGGGAUAACAGUCAGAAAUGGCUGCUAAUACCGCAUAAGCGCACAGAGCUGCAUGGCUCAGUGUGAAAAACUCCGGUGGUAUAAGAUGGACCCGCGUUGGAUUAGCUAGUUGGUGGGGUAACGGCCCACCAAGGCGACGAUCCAUAGCCGGCCUGAGAGGGUGAACGGCCACAUUGGGACUGAGACACGGCCCAGACUCCUACGGGAGGCAGCAGUGGGGAAUAUUGCACAAUGGGGGAAACCCUGAUGCAGCGACGCCGCGUGAAGGAAGAAGUAUCUCGGUAUGUAAACUUCUAUCAGCAGGGAAGAUAGUGACGGUACCUGACUAAGAAGCCCCGGCUAACUACGUGCCAGCAGCCGCGGUAAUACGUAGGGGGCAAGCGUUAUCCGGAUUUACUGGGUGUAAAGGGAGCGUAGACGGUGUGGCAAGUCUGAUGUGAAAGGCAUGGGCUCAACCUGUGGACUGCAUUGGAAACUGUCAUACUUGAGUGCCGGAGGGGUAAGCGGAAUUCCUAGUGUAGCGGUGAAAUGCGUAGAUAUUAGGAGGAACACCAGUGGCGAAGGCGGCUUACUGGACGGUAACUGACGUUGAGGCUCGAAAGCGUGGGGAGCAAACA
Molecule: ribosomal RNA, 745 nt
Filed under: uncultured bacterium
Lineage: Bacteria
Description: bacterial SSU rRNA
Rfam family: Bacterial small subunit ribosomal RNA
Source: RNAcentral